Molecule: non-coding RNA, 307 nt
Organism: Meleagris gallopavo (turkey)
Lineage: Eukaryota; Metazoa; Chordata; Aves; Galliformes; Phasianidae
Source: RefSeq, a predicted model, not a curated record
UUUUACAGGACCAUAACCUCCCCCCCUCGCCUUUCCCCCACAGGGUCCUAAAGGAGACACCGGCCCCAGAGGAGACAGGGGACUCCCCGGCCCCCUGGCAGAGAUGGCAUCCCUGGACAGCCUGGCCUCCCGGGACCCCCAGGCCCUCCAGGACCUCCAGGCCUCGGCGGAAACUUCGCUCCUCAAAUGUCUUACGGAUAUGAUGAGAAAUCGGGUGGCAUGGCGGUGCCCGGCCCCAUGGGCCCUGCUGGACCCCGUGGUCUCCCUGGUCCUCCUGGUGCUCCUGUGAGUAUCUCCUCCUCCUCCU